GUAGUCCUAGCCGUAAACGGUGCAUGUUUGCUGUAAAAGGAAUCGACCCCUUUUGUGGCGGAGCCAACGCGUUAAACAUGCCGCCUGGGAAGUACGGUCGCAAGAUUAAAACUCAAAGAAAUUGACGGGGGCCUGCACAAGCGGUGGAGUAUGUGGCUCAAUUCGAUGCAACGCGAAGAACCUUACCUGGCCUUGACAUGUACCUAGUAGAAGGGUGAAAGCCUGACGAGAUAGCAAUAUCAGGGUACACAGGUGCUGCAUGGCUGUCGUCAGCUCGUGUCGUGAGAUGUUGGGUUAAGUCCCGCAACGAGCGCAACCCUUGUGUCCUGUUGCCACCCGAUCGUAAGAUCGGAGCACUCUGGACAGACUGCCUCGCUUAAACGAGGA
Molecule: ribosomal RNA, 387 nt
Filed under: uncultured bacterium
Lineage: Bacteria
Description: bacterial SSU rRNA
Rfam family: Bacterial small subunit ribosomal RNA
Source: RNAcentral